AGUCGAACGGUGAAGCCAAGCUUGCUUGGUGGAUCAGUGGCGAACGGGUGAGUAACACGUGAGCAACCUGCCCUGGACUCUGGGAUAAGCGCUGGAAACGGCGUCUAAUACUGGAUAUGAGCUCUCAUCGCAUGGUGGGGGUUGGAAAGAUUUUUCGGUCUGGGAUGGGCUCGCGGCCUAUCAGCUUGUUGGUGAGGUAAUGGCUCACCAAGGCGUCGACGGGUAGCCGGCCUGAGAGGGUGACCGGCCACACUGGGACUGAGACACGGCCCAGACUCCUACGGGAGGCAGCAGUGGGGAAUAUUGCACAAUGGGCGGAAGCCUGAUGCAGCAACGCCGCGUGAGGGAUGACGGCCUUCGGGUUGUAAACCUCUUUUAGCAGGGAAGAAGCGAGAGUGACGGUACCUGCAGAAAAAGCGCCGGCUAACUACGUGCCAGCAGCCGCGGUAAUACGUAGGGCGCAAGCGUUAUCCGGAAUUAUUGGGCGUAAAGAGCUCGUAGGCGGUUUGUCGCGUCUGCUGUGAAAUCCCGAGGCUCAACCUCGGGCCUGCAGUGGGUACGGGCAGACUAGAGUGCGGUAGGGGAGAUUGGAAUUCCUGGUGUAGCGGUGGAAUGCGCAGAUAUCAGGAGGAACACCGAUGGCGAAGGCAGAUCUCUGGGCCGUAACUGACGCUGAGGAGCGAAAGGGUGGGGAGCAAACAGGCUUAGAUACCCUGGUAGUCCACCCCGUAAACGUUGGGAACUAGUUGUGGGGACCAUUCCACGGUUUCCGUGACGCAGCUAACGCAUUAAGUUCCCCGCCUGGGGAGUACGGCCGCAAGGCUAAAACUCAAAGGAAUUGACGGGGACCCGCACAAGCGGCGGAGCAUGCGGAUUAAUUCGAUGCAACGCGAAGAACCUUACCAAGGCUUGACAUACACCAGAACACCGUAGAAAUACGGGACUCUUUGGACACUGGUGAACAGGUGGUGCAUGGUUGUCGUCAGCUCGUGUCGUGAGAUGUUGGGUUAAGUCCCGCAACGAGCGCAACCCUCGUUCUAUGUUGCCAGCACGUAAUGGUGGGAACUCAUGGGAUACUGCCGGGGUCAACUCGGAGGAAGGUGGGGAUGACGUCAAAUCAUCAUGCCCCUUAUGUCUUGGGCUUCACGCAUGCUACAAUGGCCGGUACAAAGGGCUGCAAUACCGUGAGGUGGAGCGAAUCCCAAAAAGCCGGUCCCAGUUCGGAUUGAGGUCUGCAACUCGACCUCAUGAAGUCGGAGUCGCUAGUAAUCGCAGAUCAGCAACGCUGCGGUGAAUACGUUCCCGGGUCUUGUACACACCGCCCGUCAGUCAUGAAAGUCGGUAACACCUGAAGCCGUGGCCCAACCCUUGUGGAGGAGCCGUCGA
Molecule: ribosomal RNA, 1386 nt
Filed under: Microbacterium trichothecenolyticum
Lineage: Bacteria; Bacillati; Actinomycetota; Actinomycetes; Micrococcales; Microbacteriaceae
Description: 16S ribosomal RNA
Rfam family: Bacterial small subunit ribosomal RNA
Source: RNAcentral